This is a long non-coding RNA of Larimichthys crocea (large yellow croaker), 716 nucleotides long. RefSeq lists it as uncharacterized. The record is from RefSeq and is a predicted model, not a curated record. The transcript has 3 exons. NCBI's taxonomy places the organism in Eukaryota, Metazoa, Chordata, Actinopteri, Sciaenidae.
CCGAGGUCCUUCACUCCUCCUGGCCGCUGGAGUGCUGUGAUGUCUGCACCUUUUUCAGACUUUUCUGCUCCUCUGCGUCCCACACCCGGUGGGACUUCAUCAACAGCGAGGACCAGAUGGACUUUGCUGACAGCAAACACACGUUACACUUCAGACAGAAGUCAUCAAUGUGCCGCCUGACAGCUACAAGAGACUGUUCCUGAUAAAGCUCACUUUUGAUGGAUGCUUCAGCUGCAUUAACAUCGAGCACGUCUGGAUAGAAGUGGUGUCCUGUCUUGGAUAUGAGAGAUGACUAGGCAGUCACCUUGGUGCUCGUAGCAUCACAUCGAUACUUCAAGUCGCCUGUCAUAAAGGAAAGUUUUUCCAUGAUGCUGUAGCAAAGGAGGCAGUUUGGAUUAGACACUUUCCCUCAGAGACCUGUGAAGUGGGUAAAGUAUCUGGCUCUCGUUAGCAGGAAUUCUCAUGUCAUACAGUUCCUUAGACAAAUGAAGUAAAACAUCUGUUCACAUCUGACAAGUCGGAGAAAAUUACCAGGUGAUGCAGCGAUGAAUCACAUGUGACGAAGUGACCUUUCAAUGUAGGAACCAGGUGUUUCUCUCAGUUGGUUUUAGCAGUGCAAAGAAAGUUUUCAGAUUUGUCUGUGGGAGACAUUAUUAUGCAGGGCAAGGACAGUGCAGUGACCACCACAUGUUGAAACCGAUGUCUCCAAUAAAUGU